RNAcentral lists this ribosomal RNA (474 nucleotides) under uncultured Pseudomonadota bacterium. Its description in RNAcentral is "bacterial SSU rRNA". It matches the Rfam family "Bacterial small subunit ribosomal RNA", at positions 355 to 821 of the family's 1533-position model. The record is from RNAcentral. Lineage: Bacteria; Pseudomonadati; Pseudomonadota.
UGGGGAAUUUUGGACAAUGGGCGCAAGCCUGAUCCAGCCAUGCCGCGUGCGGGAAGAAGGCCUUCGGGUUGUAAACCGCUUUUGUCAGGGAAGAAAAGGUUCUGGCUAAUACCUGGGACUCAUGACGGUACCUGAAGAAUAAGCACCGGCUAACUACGUGCCAGCAGCCGCGGUAAUACGUAGGGUGCAAGCGUUAAUCGGAAUUACUGGGCGUAAAGCGUGCGCAGGCGGUUAUGCAAGACAGAGGUGAAAUCCCCGGGCUCAACCUGGGAACUGCCUUUGUGACUGCAUGGCUAGAGUACGGUAGAGGGGGAUGGAAUUCCGCGUGUAGCAGUGAAAUGCGUAGAUAUGCGGAGGACACCGAUGGCGAAGGCAAUCCCCUGGACCUGUACUGACGCUCAUGCACGAAAGCGUGGGGAGCAAACAGGAUUAGAUACCCGUGGUAGUCCACGCCCUAAACGAUGUCAACUUGGG